Panicum virgatum (switchgrass) is the source of this 4611-nucleotide RNA transcript. It is a transcript of the gene named DNA-binding protein SMUBP-2-like, with no coding region annotated. NCBI's taxonomy places the organism in Eukaryota, Viridiplantae, Streptophyta, Magnoliopsida, Poales, Poaceae. The transcript has 6 exons. The record is from RefSeq and is a predicted model, not a curated record.
GGCAUUGCCCGCAAGGCGACAAGGUUCCUUGGGUCGGCGCUCGGCGGCAACCACAUCCGCGAGUCGCGGCCAAGCCCACCCACGGCUGACGCGAGUUUGGACCCGAGCUCCGCUUGACGUCUCUACCCACCCCGACAGCAGUUGGCGCCGGCUAGGUGUUCGUCGAAAUGCCAGCGAGAGAUCUAGCCACCACUUCGCGUCUUCCAUCCAUCGUGGCCGUCAGGUAUCCACCCACGGGUGCGCGCUUCCUCCGAACUACUUGCCCCUGCAUCUAGAAGCUUCCUCACGUCCAGGCAUCCGCCGACCGGGGGCUUUUCGGGACCACGGGAACCUCGCCCGGGCGACGUGGGCGCACCCGGGGCACGCCCGCCGGCGAAAUCAAACCAGGAGACGACACUUUACUCGGUCGCUGCCUCGCCGCGCCCUCGCGCGCGUAUGGAGGGGGACGUAGCCGCGCCCUGCGCCACCACCCACCAGUCGCCGCGGCGCGCUCGGCGUGCCACGCCGUCGCCGAAAAAUAUCAGCUUGCCACGGAGGAUUCAUUCACCUGCUGAGCUGAGCCGCGGGUCGGUGAUUCCGUCACUUGGCUCGCUCGUUCCCGCGCGCGGCUGCCUCCUCCUCAGUCCUCACGCUGUCCCGGCCGCGCUACUGUGCGAGCGCGUCCGGCGGCGGCGGCUGGGGCCUGGGGGCCGAACCGGCAGGAGCAGCAGCAUGUCGCUUGAUACCCUCUCUGGCAAGUUCCUGUUCUCGUCCUGCACCGCGGCGAAGCCCCCGAGAAAGGAGGUGAUCACGGUUCUUGCUGCCGGUGCCUCACCGUCGACGCCGCCAAGGUCGAGGUCAUCGAAUUCCUCUUCUCUCCGCCCACGGCGCGUGCGGACCGUGCCAUCGAGCCCCACCAAACAGGCACCGCGGCCUGCCGUCCGCAGCACCAGCGGCACCGUGAGGAGGCGAGGGCGGAGGAGCAAGGUCGAGGAAGAGCAAGGCGUAGGGGGAGCAGAAAAAAGGGGUGAGUGCGUGCCGUCGACGGAGGAGGCGUCCAUCAGCGUGGGAACACUGUACCAGAAUGGUGAUCCGCUCGGGCGGAAGGAACUGGGCCGCUGCAUAGUGGAGUGGCUCAGGCAGGGCAUGGGAUCCAUGGCGUCCAAACUCGCUGCGGCCGAACUGGAGGGCGACCUCGCCGGCGCGGCAUUGGCUCUAGAGUGGGGGUCGGCGGAAGGCAGGCUUGGGUUCGUGAUCCAAGCGCAGCCUUACCUCUCGGCAAUCCCCAUGCCCCAGGGCCUGGAGGCACUCUGCCUCAAGGCCUGCACACACUACCCCACCCUGUUCGACCAUUUCCAGCGUGAGCUCCGUGAUGUUCUGCUGGGUUACCAGAACCAGGGGCUCAUCUCCAACUGGCGAGACACGCAGUCAUGGAGGAUUUCGAAAGAAAUGGCCAAUUCUUCGCAGCAUCGGGCUGCUGUGCGCAGGACAUCUCCACAGCCUAAAGCCAUCCAUAGCAGCAUUGGUAUAAGCCUUAAAAAGGUGAGGCUGAUGCAGGCCAGAAUUGAAGAAUUCGUUAGGCAUAUGUCAGAUCUUCUUCAGAUUGAGCGAGAUGUGGAGCUGGAGUUUACACAGGAGGAGCUGAAUGCAACUCCUGUUCUAGAUGAUGAUUCCGAGCCACCCAAGCCGGUUGAGUACCUGGUGAGCCAUGGGCAGGCUCAGCAGGAGCAGUGCGACACCAUUUGCAACUUGAAUGUGAUCAGCAGCUCCACUGGGUUGGGAGGCCUGCAUUUGGUUCUUUUCAGAGUUGAAGGUGGGCAUAAGCUGCCUCCAACUACAUUAUCUCCUGGAGACAUGGUUUGCGUGAGAACAUGCAAUAGCCGUGGUGAGGGUGCCACUUCUUGCAAGCAAGGUUUUGUUUAUAAUUUUGGGGAAGAUGGUUGCAGCAUAACAGUAGCUCUGGAAUCACGCCACGGUGAUGCCACCUUCUCUAGGCUAUUUGGAAAAAGUGUACGAAUUGACCGGAUUCGGGGAUUGGCUGAUGCCCUUACAUAUGAGCGUAACCUUGAAGCGUUAUUGCUUCUCCAAAGGAACGGUUUACAGAAAGAUAAUGUUUCCAUUGGUAUUGUGGCAACACUGUUUGGGGACAGUAAAGACGUGGCAAAGAUGGUGAAGAAUAACCUGACUGAUUGGGAUGAAUCAAGUGAACCUGAUCUGAGUCCAUCAGAGAAGCAUGCAUAUGAUGCCUCCCAGUUAAGGGCUCUCAAAUUAGGCUUGAACAAAAAGAGGCCUGUUCUAAUAAUCCAAGGGCCUCCUGGCACAGGAAAGACAGUCUUGCUCGCUGAGCUCAUUGUGCGUGCUGUCAAGCAGGGUGAGCGUCUACUUGUGACUGCUCCAAGUAAUGCGGCAGUCGAUAACAUGGUUGAAAGUUUGUCGAGUAGUGGGUUGAACAUUGUGCGAGUUGGAAACCCCAUUCGACUAUCACCCUCUGUUGCUUCGAAGUCCUUAGGAGAGAUUGUGAAUUGCAGACUUCGACAAUUCAGAAAGGAGCUUGAGAGAAAGAGAACAGACUUAAGAAAGGACCUGAGGCAGUGCAUAGAAGAUGAUUCUUUAGCUGCCGGCAUUCGCCAACUGCUGAAGCAACUUGGAAGAGAUCUGGAAAAUAAAGAAAAGGAAACAAUUAGAGAAGUGCUCUCCAAUGCACAGAUUGUUCUAUCAACUAAUACAGGGGCAGCUGAUCCACUUAUCAGGAGAACUGGGUGCUUUGACUUAGUUAUUAUUGAUGAGGCAGGGCAAGCAACUGAGCCUGCCUGCUGGAUACCUAUAUUGCAGGGGAAGCGCUGUAUUGUUGCUGGUGAUCACUGCCAACUUGCACCCGUUAUAUUGUCAAGGAAGGCCUUGGAUGGUGGGCUUGGUAAAUCUCUGUUGGAAAGAGCUUCGUCGUUGCAUGAUGAUUUACUGACAACAAGACUGACAGUCCAGUACAGAAUGCAUGAUUCAAUAGCCAUGUGGGCAUCUAAGGAGAUGUACAAUGGGUUGCUCAAAUCCUCUCGUUCAGUUGCUUCACAUCUUCUUGCUGACUCCCCGGUUGUCAAGGCAACUUGGAUAACACGGUGCCCGCUGCUCUUACUUGACACCCGAAUGCCAUAUGGAUCCUUAAACAUCGGUUGCAAGGAGUAUCUAGAUCCUGCUGGCACAGGCUCAUUUUAUAAUGAAGGGGAAGCAGAUAUAGUCACACAGAGUGUCUCCAACUGCAAUUGUUGUUCAGUCACCCUACAUUGCUCAAGUGCAAUUGUUAAGAGAGAAGCUAGAAAAAUAUCCAGAACUUUCUGCUGUUGAGGUUUCAACCAUAGAUAGCUUUCAGGGGAGGGAAGCAGAUGCAGUGAUCAUAUCAAUGGUUCGGUCGAAUCCACUGGGAGCCGUAGGGUUUCUGGGCGACAGCAGGCGCAUCAAUGUGGCUAUUACGAGGGCACGCAAGCACAUCACUGUGGUUUGUGAUACCUCCACUACUUGUCACAGUACCUUCCUGGCCAGGCUCCUUCGCCAUAUCAGGCGGUAUGGGCAAGUAAAACACGUUGCCCCUGGUUCCUUGGAUGGGGUUUCUGGCCUCGGCUUCAGUCAACCUACUCUCCCCUCUAUCAGUUGACACACAGCAAAUUACAAGCACACUGUCUGAGCAUGUAUAUAUGCAAACAGCUGAAGGCUUUGUACAUACACACGGAAUUCGAAGCUGAGAGGUCAUAUGGCCGGCCUGUUCUUGAUAUAUCCAUGAAGAGGAUUCAAACAGUGAUUCAUGGAUAGACAGCCAAGAGCGUCACAGGGUGGUGAUGCAUGGGCAAUCUGCUAUUCAACUUAACUGGGGUCUGGGACGAGUCAGUCUUCCAUUUUAAUUUUUGAACUGAUGCACAGGAGGAUGAGUAUUCAGGAAGGGAACAUUCAAUCUCCUGAGUAUCACUAACCUCUUGCUUGCCUGACACGAUGCUCCUAUUAUUGCUGUAAAUAAAUUACUGCUGACAAGUACACGGGAUACCCAGUACAGAUUACAGACAUGAACAGCACACUGACAGUUUCAUAAUUGAGUUCCAGGCAUUUUCAUUCUGUGCUUUUCAUUUGGAAGCUACAGACUUGGAGCAACAUGUCACGCUGUCGACAUUUGCAAGGUACCUCUGAACUGUCCUUUCUUCCAACUCCAGUUUUUUCCCUGUCAUGGCUGUUGAAUUUCGUGCUGCUCCUCUGCAUCAUGUGCGUGCAGUCCUCCCUACCUUGGAAAAUCAAUAAAUCAUGGAGGGAUCCAGCUCCCCCAACACGCAAAUGAACUUUCCUCAUAUUAUCCUUUCGUAUCCCGCUGCAUUUUUCCAAUAUUGUGCUCCUAUGCUAUGCAAUCUCACACGAUUGGAGUUCUAACAACAGAAGCGAAGUGCAUUCCCUCCCAUAGCACAUGAAAUAUUUUCCACAACACAAUUCCGUAUGCUACUUGUGCCCUUAGGUAAUAUCAAGUGUAUUUUUUUUCUUUUUUGCAUACGGAGUAUCAUGUAUGGGAGCUUUCAAAGUUGGGCGCUGAAGCUGCAACCAGCCAUGUGUACUGAAAGACAAACUCACAUUUGUCACAUAGGCUGAUAGACACGUACAUCU